This is a long non-coding RNA of Bos taurus (domestic cattle), 778 nucleotides long. The record is from Ensembl. Lineage: Eukaryota; Metazoa; Chordata; Mammalia; Artiodactyla; Bovidae.
CUUUUUAAUUUUAUUUGGCCUGUUCUUUUUAGAUGGGUUUUAUUUUUGCCAAGGUGUGUUGCAUUCGUUUGUGAUCCCAGUCUUCCUGCUGCUGCUGCUAAGUCACUGCAGUCGUGUCCGACUCUGUGCGACCCCAUAGACAGCAGCCCACUAGGCUCCUCCGUCCAUGGGAUUUUCCAGGCAAAAGUACUGGAGUGGGGUGCCAUCGUCUUCUCCCCCAGUCUUCCUACCCACCUUGAAUUCUCCACUCCUCUGCAUGUUAUUCUGUCAAAAUUCUCAACUGUAUAAGGAGUCAGUGUAUGUCUAUUUUUGGUUGCCUUGGUUUUUCCUUUUAGCAGGGCACCAAAUUAGGAGUCUUAGUUUAAGAACCUCAUCUCGUAGCACUCAUCUGGAAAUGUGGGAGUGAGUUCUUAGUGGGGAUCUCUGGCCAGUAGCUCCUGCAUCCUGGCAGUAACAUCAGUGAUGGCUUUGUUUUGUGUAUAAAGUUUGCAAGAUUCUCAGUUGGAGCUGUCACGCACACAUGACAAAAGUGGGUUUUGUUUUAUAUAGUCACAUCCUAAGUCCCCUCCAAAGGGAAAAAGAGGUGUUCAUAUCAUUAUAAACACGAUUCUCUCUCACUCAAGUUCCUCCAAAUCAAUACGAAGUGGGGAGACGUCAGGCUCCCGCGGCCGGAGCGGCGGCCCCGGCUCGGCGCGGCGCAGCGCAGUCUGGUUGAGCGCUCACCGCAGCGAGAAGUUUUCCUCUGCCGUCGCGCCUUCCGCCGCCGCCGCUGGGUGGU